RNAcentral lists this long non-coding RNA (516 nucleotides) under Daucus carota (carrot). Its description in RNAcentral is "long non-coding RNA (DCAR_LNC003714)". The record is from RNAcentral. Lineage: Eukaryota; Viridiplantae; Streptophyta; Magnoliopsida; Apiales; Apiaceae.
CGGGUUGAAUAAUCAAGAAGAUCCCAAUUCAUUCAAAGCUCUAACUAUCACUGAGCAACACAUGCUUCAAUGACAAUCUGAACUUCGAAUUAAUUUGUAAAACGGAAAUUCUUUAGAAACUUGAAGAUUAGAAAGAAUGGGUCAGAAUACUCGCACUUUCGAACAUUGAAAAGAAAGGUAUGAAUACUUGAAACAUAUACCAAAGGAAUGGAUCAGAAUAUUUGCAAUAUAUCCAAGAGAAGGGUUUAGGAUACUUGCCUUAAAUCUGACUCCAGUCUCAUAGCUCAACCUCAUCUUUCCACUUUCACAAUCUAUUCAUAUCAUAAUUUUUAGACCAUCUCUAGCCAUACUCUAUUCGCCACAUCGCUUCGCUUACUCGAUUCAUCCCUUAUUCAUUUUGCAAUACCAUUUCGACUUCCUGACGUUUUCGAGCAUACACGUCUCGUCCAAAUCCUUUACGAGAAAAAGAUAAUACUAUAGUCACUAAACAAUAUAUCGCAUAUACAUAUCACGUAU